Molecule: ribosomal RNA, 247 nt
Filed under: uncultured bacterium
Lineage: Bacteria
Description: partial 16S ribosomal RNA
Rfam family: Bacterial small subunit ribosomal RNA
Source: RNAcentral
AUACGUAGGUGGCGAGCGUUGUCCGGAAUUAUUGGGCGUAAAGCGCGCGCAGGCGGGAAAGUAAGUCUACUCUAAAAGUGCGGGGCUCAACCCCGUGAUGGGGUGGAAACUGCUUUUCUUUGAGUGCCGGAGAGGAAAGCGGAAUUCCCAGUGUAGCGGUGAAAUGCGUAGAUAUUGGGAGGAACACCAGUGGCGAAGGCGACUUUCUGGACUGUGUCUGACACUGAGGCGCGAAAGCCAGGGGAGC